AUUCGCAACGCGUGGCAUUUUCACUAUGCGUUGGUUUUAGUGUUUAAGGCGGUAUGCAGCGGCUUUGGUAUUGCGUUGCUCACCCCUUAACAGGGCGUUAUGUGAAUGGAGGUCGAAAUUGUCUUCUGUACCAAAAAAUAAGGAUGAAUUGGAGUUAGCCAUAAACUCAAUAUUUCCCAAACUAAU
This 186-nucleotide ribosomal RNA is filed under the name Vibrio parahaemolyticus EKP-028. Its description in RNAcentral is "partial 23S ribosomal RNA". Lineage: Bacteria; Pseudomonadati; Pseudomonadota; Gammaproteobacteria; Vibrionales; Vibrionaceae. The record is from RNAcentral.